Arachis ipaensis is the source of this 685-nucleotide non-coding RNA. Lineage: Eukaryota; Viridiplantae; Streptophyta; Magnoliopsida; Fabales; Fabaceae. The record is from RefSeq and is a predicted model, not a curated record.
CAUUCCCCUCUUCGACACUACCCCACCAUUCCCCUCUUCGCCAGCGCCACCGUCUCCCUUCUUCUCCCUGCCGUCACCAUUCUUCCUGGUCCCUGAGCUUGAAGGCGCGAUUCAACUCCAGUCUGCAAGCUUUACCGUGGUUGGUGCCUCAGAUUCUGUUUUGUUUUGAGGUAGGUAAUAUUUCUCAAUGGAAGAAUGCUGCAAUAUUGUUGGACAGUGAUGAUGAGGCCAUGAGGGUAGUGUGAGUUCAUCAUUGAGUGCCUGGACAGGCAACGAAUAGGUGCACGUUGAUCAGGAGACUCUGCUCCAACAAGCUCUUGAUGCAUUAGAUGAGAAAAGGUAAUUAGUUAUUUCACUUGUGAUCAAACUUUAGAAGAGUUUUUAACAUUGAAAUUUGCAACCAUAAAUUAUAUGAAUGCGUAUACUAAUGAGUCUAAGUGCAUCUUAGAACAAAGAAGUGAUUUAGCAUGAAAACUUGCAAUGGUAAAGUUAAAUGAACAUGGAACGAAGUUCAUAUUUGGUUAUGCUUAUCUUGGAAGAAAGUAGUUGUUUCAAUUUUGUAGGUAGCUCUCUUAGCAAGGUUAUUAGUUUAAGCUGUUCUGAACCUGUAAUAAGCUUCUAUAGUAUGCUAAAUGUAUUCACAGUUUUUGCUUAUUCUAUUUAAACCACCACCAUUUCAUUUCGA